This 94-nucleotide ribosomal RNA is filed under the name uncultured bacterium. RNAcentral describes it as "partial 16S ribosomal RNA". The record is from RNAcentral.
CCCGUCACGCCAUGGAAGCUGUGAGCGCCCGAAGUCCGUGCCGGAACUGGGCAACCAGGCCAAGCGGCCGAAGGCGAGCGCAGUGACUGGGGCG